CCUACGGGUGGCUGCAGUGGGGAAUAUUGGACAAUGGGGGGAACCCUGAUCCAGCCAUGCCGCGUGUGUGAAGAAGGCCCUCGGGUUGUAAAGCACUUUCAGUGAGGAAGAACGCCUGGUGGUUAAUACCCAUCAGGAAAGACAUCACUCACAGAAGAAGCACCGGCUAACUCCGUGCCAGCAGCCGCGGUAAUACGGAGGGUGCGAGCGUUAAUCGGAAUUACUGGGCGUAAAGCGCGCGUAGGUGGCUUGAUAAGCCGGUUGUGAAAGCCCCGGGCUCAACCUGGGAACGGCAUCCGGAACUGUCAAGCUAGAGUGCAGGAGAGGAAGGUAGAAUUCCCGGUGUAGCGGUGAAAUGCGUAGAGAUCGGGAGGAAUACCAGUGGCGAAGGCGGCCUUCUGGACUGACACUGACACUGAGGUGCGAAAGCGUGGGUAGCAAACAGGAUUAGAUACCCGGGUAGUC
This 465-nucleotide ribosomal RNA is filed under the name Vreelandella stevensii. RNAcentral's name for it is "partial 16S ribosomal RNA". It matches the Rfam family "Bacterial small subunit ribosomal RNA", at positions 338 to 795 of the family's 1533-position model. The record is from RNAcentral. Lineage: Bacteria; Pseudomonadati; Pseudomonadota; Gammaproteobacteria; Oceanospirillales; Halomonadaceae.